ACUCCUACGGGAGGCAGCAGUGGGGAAUAUUGCACAAUGGGCGCAAGCCUGAUGCAGCCAUGCCGCGUGUAUGAAGAAGGCCUUCGGGUUGUAAAGUACUUUCAGCAGUGAGGAAGGUGGGUAUGUUAAUAGCAUACUCAUUUGACGUUAGCUGCAGAAGAAGCACCGGCUAACUCCGUGCCAGCAGCCGCGGUAAUACGGAGGGUGCGAGCGUUAAUCGGAAUUACUGGGCGUAAAGCGCAUGCAGGUGGUUUGUUAAGUCAGAUGUGAAAGCCCGGGGCUCAACCUCGGAAUUGCAUUUGAAACUGGCAAACUAGAGUACUGUAGAGGGGGGUAGAAUUUCAGGUGUAGCGGUGAAAUGCGUAGAGAUCUGAAGGAAUACCGGUGGCGAAGGCGGCCCCCUGGACAGAUACUGACACUCAGAUGCGAAAGCGUGGGGAGCAAACAGGAUUAGAUACCCUGGUAGACUCUGC
RNAcentral lists this ribosomal RNA (473 nucleotides) under uncultured bacterium. Its description in RNAcentral is "bacterial SSU rRNA". It matches the Rfam family "Bacterial small subunit ribosomal RNA", at positions 335 to 800 of the family's 1533-position model. The record is from RNAcentral.